RNAcentral lists this ribosomal RNA (253 nucleotides) under uncultured microorganism. RNAcentral's name for it is "partial small subunit ribosomal RNA". It matches the Rfam family "Bacterial small subunit ribosomal RNA", at positions 524 to 776 of the family's 1533-position model. The record is from RNAcentral.
UACGGAAGGUCCGGGCGUUAUCCGGAUUUAUUGGGUUUAAAGGGAGCGUAGGCCGUCUGUUAAGCGUGUUGUGAAAUGUAGAUGCUCAACAUCUGAAUUGCAGCGCGAACUGACCGACUUGAGUGCGCAGGAAGUAGGCGGAAUUCGUGGUGUAGCGGUGAAAUGCUUAGAUAUCACGAAGAACUCCGAUUGCGAAGGCAGCUUACUGUAGCGCCACUGACGCUGAAGCUCGAAAGUGCGGGUAUCGAACAGG